UACGUAGGGGGCAAGCGUUAUCCGGAUUUACUGGGCGUAAAGCGCGUUAAGGCGGCUGGUUAAGUUGGUGGUGAAAUUCCAGGGCUCAACCCUGGAACUGCCUCCAAUACUGGUCGGCUUGAGUGCGAGAGAGGAAGGUGGAAUUCCCGGUGUAGUAGUGAAAUGCGUAGAUAUCGGGAGGAACACCAGUGGCGAAGGCGGCCUUCUGGCUCGCAACUGACGCUGUAGCGCGAAAGCGUGGGGAG
This 245-nucleotide ribosomal RNA is filed under the name uncultured bacterium. Its description in RNAcentral is "partial 16S ribosomal RNA". It matches the Rfam family "Bacterial small subunit ribosomal RNA", at positions 524 to 768 of the family's 1533-position model. The record is from RNAcentral.